CCUACGGGAGGCAGCAGUGGGGAAUAUUGCACAAUGGGCGAAAGCCUGAUCCAGCAACGCCGCGUGAAGGAAGAAGGGUUUCGGGUUGUAAACUUCUAUUAACAGGGACGAAAGAAAUGACGGUACCUGAACAAUAAGCCUCGGCUAACUACGUGCCAGCAGCCGCGGUAAUACGUAGGGGGCAAGCGUUAUCCGGAUUUAAUGGGUGUAAAGGGUGAGUAGGCGGCAUGGUAAGCCAGAUGUGAAAGCGUUGGGCUUAACCCGAGGAUUGCAUUUGAAACUAUCAGGCUUGAGUACUGGAGAGGCAGGCGGAAUUCCUGGUGUAGCGGUGAAAUGCGUAGAUAUCACGAAGAACCCCGAUUGCGAAGGCAGCUUGCUAAACUGUGACUGACGUUGAUGCUCGAAAGUGUGGGGAUCAAACAGGAUUAGAUACCCUUGUAGUC
Molecule: ribosomal RNA, 443 nt
Filed under: uncultured bacterium
Lineage: Bacteria
Description: partial 16S ribosomal RNA
Rfam family: Bacterial small subunit ribosomal RNA
Source: RNAcentral